Zea mays is the source of this 2665-nucleotide RNA transcript. It is a transcript of the gene named Guanylate-binding family protein, with no coding region annotated. The transcript has 17 exons. Lineage: Eukaryota; Viridiplantae; Streptophyta; Magnoliopsida; Poales; Poaceae. The record is from RefSeq and is marked predicted.
CGAGUCGCCGGACUCGCGGUCUCGCUGCUCGCAUCACCCUCCGUGCGUGCUCUGUUCCCCCCGAUUUUUCCCUCUCCCUUCCGAGUUCCAAUCUCAUCGGUCGUCGCCCCGCUGCUCCAGCUCUUCCCAUUCGUUCCCACUCCCUCGCGCCGAAGCAACUCCUGAAUCCUCCUGCGCGCCAAAACCCUAGCCGCAGAUCCCGCACCUCGCCGCCCGGAGCCCAAGCGGCGGCGUCGACGUCCGCGCACGCACCGACCAUUGCCGCUCGCCGCAUUGGGGCGCUUACGGCGUCGCCUCCGCUCCCGGGGCAGAGAUCUGGGUCGAGGAGACCUGGUUGCGCGUGGGCUGCGUAGGGGAUGUGGCGGGGGCGGUGUGCCCCGGGGAUCAGCGUGGCGGCGCUGGCCCUGCUCGCCGUCGCGGCUGCUGCAGGAGCCGCCGCGGGGGAUCCCGAUCCCGACGACCUCGAGCGCGCGUUUCCAAUAGUGGAGCCAGACCACAGACACACUAAACUUCGUCUCUCAGAGCAAGGUCUAGAAGCAAUUCGAAGGAUCGAAACUCCUAUUGCUGUUGUUGGUGUCAUUGGUCCCUAUCGAUCUGGAAAAUCAUUUCUCCUCAACCAGCUUCUCUCCUUAUCUUGUGAUAAAGGUUUUGGAGUUGGUCAUAUGCGAGAUACUAAAACUAAAGGUAUUUGGAUUUGGGGUACUCCUGUUGAGAUGGAUGUUGAUGGUUCCAAAGUUUCUGUCCUUUAUCUAGACACUGAAGGGUUUGAAAGUGUUGGGAAAUCAAAUGUGUAUGAUGAUAGGAUAUUUGCUUUGGCGACUGUCUUAAGCUCGGUCCUUAUCUACAACCUUCCUGAGACGGUACGUGAAGCUGAUAUAUCUAGGCUUUCAUUUGCCGUUGAAAUUGCUGAAGAGUUCUAUGGAAGAGUGAAGGGGCAAGAUGUUGCUUUUGAGCCAGCAAAGCUUCUCUGGCUUAUCCAGAGGGAUUUCCUCCAAGGAAAAUCUGUUCAACAAAUGGUCAAUGAAGCCCUCCAACGGGUGCCUAAUGAUAAUGGUGACAGAUAUAUUAAUGAGGUCAAUCAAAUACGAGAUUCUUUGGCAGUUAUGGGCAACCACAGCACUGCUUUUAGCUUGCCCCAGCCACAUCUUCAAAGAACAAAAUUAUGUGAUAUGGAGGACAAAGAGCUUGAACCCUUAUAUGUAAAACGGCGGGAGCAACUAAAGCAGCUUGUUUCGUCCAUUGUAAAACCAAAAAUCGUGCAGGGUAGAACUCUAAAUGGGAAGGACUUUGUGUCUUUCUUGCAGCAGAUUCUUGAGGCUUUGAAUAAAGGCGAAAUUCCAUCAACUGGAUCUCUGGUUGAAAUUUUUAACAAAGCCAUUCUUGAUCGCUGUCUGAAGGUGUACAGGGAGAAAAUGGAUAGCUUAAACCUACCAGUGCCGGUAGACGAACUGCAGAAACUUCAUGAGAUGACAAAUGGUGAAGCUAGAAUUCUCUUUGAUAAGCAGCACUUUGGCAAACAUCAUGCUGCUCAGUCGGCCCUCAAGCUUGAAGAUGAGAUUAAAGAGGAUGUACUUUGUAGGUGUACAGAAACUUCCUUCUAGCUAAUGAAUAUCAAUCGUCAAAGCUAUGUGAAGCUCGCUUUUCUGAGUGUGAAGAUAAGAUGGAUCACCUUCAAGUCUUGAAACUUCCUUCAAUGGCAAAAUUCAAUGCAGGCUUUACUCACUGCAACCAAAGUUUCGUAAAGGACUGCGUGGGACCUGCAAAAGAAAGCUACGAACGUAGAAUGUCAAAGAUGCUUGCCAAGUCUCGUGCUCUUUUCAUCAAGGAGUACAAUAACAAGCUUUUCAAUUGGUUGGCGACAUUCUCUUUGGUCAUGGUGGUGAUCGGGCGCUUUGUCAUCAAGUUCUUCCUACUUGAAAUUGUUGCUUGGGUGAUGUUUAUCUUCCUAGAGACGUACACGAGAAUGUUCUGGUCAGCGGAAUCACUGUAUUAUAAUCCAGCUUGGCACAUCAUUGUUUCUUCCUGGGAGAUGAUCGUGUACAGCCCUAUUCUUGAUCUGGACAGAUGGGCCAUCCCAAUUGUCAUAAUGCUAUCAUUGGGGGUUCUUUACUGGAGGUGCUUCGGCCGCAGAAGGAAGCGGGUAAAGGGUUCCCUCCUCCCAUUGUACAAGAAUUCUUACAAGAACUCGAGUCGCCCGAGAUCAGAUUAGUUAUACGCAAUGUUUAAGUUUUUCUUUUAAAGGAUGGUACAAAACAUCUGCUUAUAGAAGAGGCUACACUGCCCGUGCUUUUGGAUGGGCAUGUUUUGAUGCUGCCUUGCCUAUGGAUCUCCAAUUGUUUUUUGGUGGACGAAGAGAGACAGUGAAGCUGCUAGCGAUGGCCGAUGGGGCACCUGCACAAGCCUCCGUUGUAAUUGUAAUUCUACUUCUCUGCCUUCUGUAGCUAGGCUAUCCUUACAUGUCACGGUCUCAAUUCUUUGCUUAUUGUUUACAUCCACUGCAAUUUUUGCAAGGAUUUUGUUUUUAUCGGGUCAUAUACAAUGUAGUUGUUAUUUAGAGCGUGCACCGUGACAUUCAUAUGCUCGAAGUCUGGCGGUGGAAUUUGGAAACGUGCCUUUUUUAUACUGCUAUUAUACAGUUAAUGUACUCAUGCUAUCCUUUUGGCCA